ACUGCUGCUUUUUCCGCUGGGGAAAGGAGAGGAACUGAUGGAAUGAGAUACCAAUUAUACCAAUUCUCUCUACUGAUAGUGUCAACAGCUGAUGUACCAACAAAAGGCCAAAACAUCAGAGGCAGAUAUUGGUGGUAUGUCAGUAGAGGCUGAACCUGCCCAACAGUACUCCAUUCCAUGUUGUUGCUGUGUGACAGAUGGCAGCAGAGGGGCCUGACAAAAUGGCGUCUGACAUGGAAAUGUGUGCAAAGCAAAGGUGUGUCAUUGAAUUCCUCC
This is a long non-coding RNA of Gallus gallus (chicken), 276 nucleotides long. The record is from Ensembl. NCBI's taxonomy places the organism in Eukaryota, Metazoa, Chordata, Aves, Galliformes, Phasianidae.